AUUGAACGCUGGCGGCAGGCCUAACACAUGCAAGUCGAGCGGAUGAAGGGAGCUUGCUUCUGGAUUCAGCGGCGGACGGGUGAGUAAUGCCUAGGAAUCUGCCUGGUAGUGGGGGAUAACGUUCGGAAACGGGCGCUAAUAUCGCAUACGUCCUGCGGGAGAAAGUGGUGGAUCUUCGGAACUCACGCUAUCAGAUGAGCCUAGGUCGGAUUAGCUAGUUGUUGGGGUAAAGGCCUACCAAGGCGACGAUCCGUAACUGGUCUUAGAGGAUGAUCCUGCACACUGGAACUGAGACACGGUCCAGACUCCUACGGGAGGCAGCAGUGGGGAAUAUUGGACGAUGGGCGAAAGCCUGAUCCAGCCAUGCCGCGUGUGUGAAGAAGGUCUUCGGAUUGUAAAGCACUUUAAGUUGGGAGGAAGGGCAGUAAGUUAAUACCUUGCUGUUUUGACGUUACCAACAGAAUAAGCACCGGCUAACUUCGUG
This 484-nucleotide ribosomal RNA is filed under the name uncultured bacterium. RNAcentral's name for it is "partial 16S ribosomal RNA". It matches the Rfam family "Bacterial small subunit ribosomal RNA", at positions 30 to 507 of the family's 1533-position model. The record is from RNAcentral.